This 459-nucleotide long non-coding RNA is filed under the name Monodelphis domestica (gray short-tailed opossum). RNAcentral's name for it is "lncRNA (ENSMODG00000050138.1)". Lineage: Eukaryota; Metazoa; Chordata; Mammalia; Didelphimorphia; Didelphidae. The record is from RNAcentral.
UUUAAGCAAUUAGUCUAUACUUUUGGUAUGCAAGAGAUAUAAUAAUCUCCUUAAAUAAAAUGCCUCAACUCGACACUUCAACAUGAACCUUAACAAUUAUACUCAUAAUUAUCUCACUAUUUUGCAUCUAUCAGCUUAAAAUAAUGAAUCAAGUAAUUAUCCAAAUUACCCCUUCAAAUGAAAAGAAAAAAGCUACAAAAAGCACCUUACCCUGACAAACAAAAUGAACGAAAAUUUAUUUGCCCCAUUCGUCACACCAACAAUUAUAGGUAUUACAACCCUACCUAUUAUUAUUAUUAUAUUUCCCUGUGUUAUACUAUCAUCCCCAAAACGAUGACUACCAAACCGAAUUCAAACACUACAAAUCUGACUAAUUCGCUUAAUUACUAAACAAAUAAUGACAAUGCAUAACAAACAAGGACGAACCUGGACCCUAAUACUAAUCUCUUUAAUUCUCUU